GACGAACGUUGGCGGCGUGCUUAAUACAUGCAAGUCAACUGAAGCACCGGUAGUAAUACUGGUGUGGAGGUGGCGCACGGGUGAGUAACACGUAGGUAAUCUGCCUUCAGGUCUGACAUAACCCCGAGAAAUCGGGGCUAAUAGCAGAUGAUGCAGCGGCUUGACAUCAAGACAGUUGUUAAAGCUUCGGCGCCUGAAGAUGAGCCUGCGUCUGAUUAGCUAGUUGGCGGAGUAAUGGCCCACCAAGGCUACGAUCAGUAACUGGUCUGAGAGGAUGAUCAGUCACACUGGAACUGAGACACGGUCCAGACUCCUACGGGAGGCAGCAGUAAGGAAUAUUGCUCAAUGGGAGAAAUCCUGAAGCAGCAACGCCGCGUGAGGGAUGAAGGGCUUUUGCUCGUAAACCUCUGUAGUGAGGGAAAAAUUUCCACUCUGUGGAAUAUGAUGGUAC
This 451-nucleotide ribosomal RNA is filed under the name uncultured bacterium. RNAcentral describes it as "bacterial SSU rRNA". It matches the Rfam family "Bacterial small subunit ribosomal RNA", at positions 28 to 478 of the family's 1533-position model. The record is from RNAcentral.